Molecule: ribosomal RNA, 425 nt
Filed under: uncultured bacterium
Lineage: Bacteria
Description: bacterial SSU rRNA
Rfam family: Bacterial small subunit ribosomal RNA
Source: RNAcentral
GUGGGGAAUCUUGCGCAAUGGGCGAAAGCCUGACGCAGCCAUGCCGCGUGAAUGAUGAAGGUCUUAGGAUUGUAAAAUUCUUUCACCGGGGACGAUAAUGACGGUACCCGGAGAAGAAGCCCCGGCUAACUUCGUGCCAGCAGCCGCGGUAAUACGAAGGGGGCUAGCGUUGCUCGGAAUUACUGGGCGUAAAGGGCGCGUAGGCGGACAGUUUAGUCAGAGGUGAAAGCCCAGGGCUCAACCUUGGGAUUGCCUUUGAUACUGGCUGUCUUGAGUACGGGAGAGGUGAGUGGAACUCCGAGUGUAGAGGUGAAAUUCGUAGAUAUUCGGAAGAACACCAGUGGCGAAGGCGACUCACUGGCCCGUUACUGACGCUGAGGCGCGAAAGCGUGGGGAGCAAACAGGAUUAGAUACCCGUGUAGUCC